Molecule: long non-coding RNA, 1747 nt
Organism: Ictalurus punctatus (channel catfish)
Lineage: Eukaryota; Metazoa; Chordata; Actinopteri; Siluriformes; Ictaluridae
Source: Ensembl
GUUUCCAACAGUGGCUUUCUCCCGAAACAUUUCCCACCUAGACAACAAUUUUAACAUUAUAAAAAACAUACAUAGUUAGCUUAACCAAAAACAAACUUAGCGUUCUGUUGGGGUUGGUGUCAUUUGCUUGAAUGAAAUUUCCCAAAAACUCGUGUGGUUGCAGACUUUGAUCAUGUCGAGCUGAUCGAGCUGAUCGAGCUGGGAGACCAUUUAUACCAGCUGGGCACACCCAGCUGGAUUUUCACCAGGGAUUGCUGAGCUUCUUGAAAUUUAAUCAGGUGAAUAACAUCUAACACGGAGCAUAAUCUUGGACUCACACUGUAACUUUUCGGAUUGUGAUGUUACAUUAUAAUGCUAUUGCACCGUGCAUGUGUAUGUUUUUGAUGGUACAGGCUUUGAGAGGUUUGGAUGGAGGGCACGGGGCUGGUGUCUGGGUGUAAGUUAGCCAAGAUCAUCAACGCCACUUAUCGGAGCUGUAAGCUACUAUUUUACUCAUGGCUUUUUCAGCUGUGAAUUCUUACACUGACUAUCGCAAUAUUUCUAUUAGAAAUUACAUUAAGAUACACAUUUUCCACAUAAAUGUGAAUGGAAAAAGUUACCAUCUGGAUUGCUAAUAUCCUAUAUGGUAUCAGAAUUAUCCAUCCAGAAUUACUGGCACCCCGGAAAUGAGCAAAAAUGUGUGUGUGUGUAUAUAUACAUACAUACAUACAUACUGCUGUGAAAAAUUACAUACAUACAUAUUGCUGUGAAAAAUUUGCAGAAUUCAUGUUUCCUGGGCAAGUUGCCCAGGCCCUGAAGCAACAAAGCAUCUCCUCACCAUCACACUGCCACCAUCAUGCUUGACCGUAGGUAUGAUGUUCUUUUUGUGGGAUUCAGUGUUUGGUUUGCGCCAGAUUUGUCUUCCAAACAGUUCGACUUUCGACUCAUCAAUCCAUAGAAUAUUCCCCCAAAAGGUUUGAGGAUCAUUAAGGUGUGUUUUGGCAAAAUUCAGACAAGGCUUAAUGUUCUUCUGGGUUAUCAGUGGUUUUCACCUCAUCACUCUUCCAUAGAUGCCAUUUUUGCCCAGUGUCUUUCUGAUAGUGGAGUCAUGAACAGUGACCUUUAUUGAUGCGAGAGAGGCCUGUAGUGUCUUUGAUAUUCUCCUUGGCUCUUUUGUGACUUCCUGGAUGAGUCGUUGCUGUGCUCUUGGAGGAAUUUUGGAAGUCGGCCACUUCUUGGAGGUUCACCACUGUACUGUGCUCCAAAGUUUUUACCAUUUGGAGCUCUCACUGUGGUUCUUUGGAGUCCCAGAGACUUUGAAAUAACUUUGUAACCCUUCCCAGACUGAUGUAUUUCAAUCACCUUCUUCCUCAUCAUUUCUGGAAUUUCUUUCAACUUUGGCAUAGUGUGUUACUGGGUUAAGACCUUUUACCAGCUUCAUUCUGUUGAAAAAGUUCUAUUUAAGUGUAGAUGUGAUUGAACAGGGUUUGCAGUAAUCAGGUCUGGUUGUGUCUAGUUCAGCUGAACACCAUUAUGAAUGCAGUUUCAUAGAUUUGGGGAUUUAGUAACUAUGGGGGCAAAUACAUUUUCACACAGGCCCAGUUGGUAUUGGAAAACUUUUUUUCCUUCAAUAAAUAACACUGUCAUUUAAAAACUGUAUUUUGUGUUUACCCAGGUUGCCUUUGUUUUAUCUUAGAUUUUGUUUUAAUUUCUGAAAACAAUUUGGUAUGAGAUAUACACAAAACCAGAAGAAAUCAAUACACGGUGU